Molecule: ribosomal RNA, 1123 nt
Filed under: uncultured organism
Description: bacterial SSU rRNA
Rfam family: Bacterial small subunit ribosomal RNA
Source: RNAcentral
ACGGUCCAGACUCCUAACGGGAGGCAGCAGCUAAGAAUCUUCCGCAAUGGUCGACAGACUGACGGAGCGACGCCGCCGUGAAUGAUGAAGGCCUUACAGGUUUGUAACAUUCUUUCUAAUAGGGACGAAUGUUUAACUUUAGGUUAAUCUGACGGUACCUUUUUGAAUAAGAUCCGGCUAACUAACGUGCCUACAGCCGCGGUACUACGUAAGAAUCCGAGCGUUGUUCGGGAAUUACUGGGGCGUUAAGUGGUCCGCAAGGCGGUUUUGNAUAAGUCAGAUGUGAAAUCUCGCGGGCUCAACCCCGAGGCUGCGUCUGAUACUGUCAGGCUAGGGUUACUGAGAGGAAGACGGAAUUUCUGGUGUAGGGGUGAAAUCUAUAGAUAUCAGAAAGAACACCGGUUGCGAAGGCGGUCUUCUAACAGUUAACCGACGCUGAGGUACGAAAGGCAGGGUAGCAAACAGGAUUAGAGACCCUGGUAGUCCUGCCUGUAAACGUUGUAUACUAGGUGGUGGGCGCAUUGAUCCGUUCACUGCCGCAGCUAACGCAUUAAGUAUACCGCCUGGGGAGUAUGCCGGCAACGGUGAAACUCAAAGGAAUUGACGGGGGCCCGCACAAGCAGUGGAGCAUGUUGUUUAAUUCGAUGAUACGCGAGAAACCUUACCAGGUCUUGACAUAUACAUGGCGCUUAUAGAGAUAUAAGUUCUCUUCGGAGCAUGUAUACAGGUGCUGCAUGGUUGUCGUCAGCUCGUGCCGUGAGGUGUUGGGUUAAGUCCCGCAACGAGCGCAACCCCUAUUCUCUGUUGCUAACGGUUCGGCCGAGCACUCGGAGGAAACUGCCGGUGACAAACCGGAGGAGGGUGGGGAUGACGUCAAAUCAUCACGGCCCUUAUGACCUGGGCUACAAACGUGCUACAAUGGACGGUACAAUGAGUUGCGAGAUUGCGAAAUUAAGCUAAUCUCAAAAAGCCGUCCUCAGUUCGGAUUGGAGUCUGAAACCCGACUCCAUGAAGCUGGAAUUGCUAGUAAUCGCACAUCAGCAUGGUGCGGUGAAUACGUUCCCGGGCCUUGUACACACCGCCCGUCACAUCACCCGAGUUGGUUAUACCCGAAGUAUCUGAC